Molecule: non-coding RNA, 81 nt
Organism: Potamilus streckersoni
Lineage: Eukaryota; Metazoa; Mollusca; Bivalvia; Unionida; Unionidae
Source: the annotation of a GenBank genome assembly
GCUCCGGUGGCCUAGUCACUAGUGGGUAGAACGUCCGCCUCAGAUGCGGUAGGUCGUGGGUUCGAUCCCCGGCCAAGAAUU